Molecule: ribosomal RNA, 253 nt
Filed under: uncultured bacterium
Lineage: Bacteria
Description: partial 16S ribosomal RNA
Rfam family: Bacterial small subunit ribosomal RNA
Source: RNAcentral
UACGUAGGGGGCAAGCGUUGUCCGGAUUCAUUGGGCGUAAAGAGGGUGUAGGCGGCCAGGUAGGUCGGUUGUGAAAACUGGAGGCUCAACCUUCAGACGUCGACCGAAACCAUCUGGCUAGAGUCCGGGAGAGGAGAGUGGAAUUCCUGGUGUAGCGGUGAAAUGCGCAGAUAUCAGGAAGAACACCCGUGGCGAAAGCGGCUCUCUGGAACGGUACUGACGCUGAGACGCGAAAGCGUGGGGAGCGAACAGG